AUUGAACGGCUGGCGGCAUGCCUUACACAUGCAAGUCGAACGGCAGCACGGAGCAAUCCUGGUGGCGAGUGGCGAACGGGUGAGUAAUAUAUCGGAACGUGCCCAGUCGUGGGGGAUAACGUAGCGAAAGCUACGCUAAUACCGCAUACGAUCUAUGGAUGAAAGCGGGGGAUCGCAAGACCUCGCGCGAUUGGAGCGGCCGAUAUCAGAUUAGGUAGUUGGUGAGGUAAAGGCUCACCAAGCCGACGAUCUGUAGCUGGUCUGAGAGGACGACCAGCCACACUGGGACUGAGACACGGCCCAGACUCCUACGGGAGGCAGCAGUGGGAAUUUUGGACAAUGGGCGCAAGCCUGAUCCAGCAAUGCCGCGUGCAGGAUGAAGGCCUUCGGGUUGUAAACUGCUUUGUACGGAACGAAACGGUGAGCUCUAAUACAGUUUGCUAAUGACGGUACCGUAAGAAUAAGCACCGGCUAACUACGUG
RNAcentral lists this ribosomal RNA (482 nucleotides) under uncultured bacterium. RNAcentral describes it as "bacterial SSU rRNA". It matches the Rfam family "Bacterial small subunit ribosomal RNA", at positions 35 to 507 of the family's 1533-position model. The record is from RNAcentral.